RNAcentral lists this ribosomal RNA (301 nucleotides) under uncultured bacterium. RNAcentral's name for it is "partial 16S ribosomal RNA". It matches the Rfam family "Bacterial small subunit ribosomal RNA", at positions 509 to 807 of the family's 1533-position model. The record is from RNAcentral.
CAGUAGCCGCGGUAAUACGUAGGGUGCGAGCGUUAAUCGGAAUUACUGGGCGUAAAGCGGGCGCAGACGGUUACCUAAGCAGGAUGUGAAAUCCCCGGGCUCAACCUGGGAAUUGCGUUCUGAACUGGGUGGCUAGAGUGUGUCAGAGGGGGGUAGAAUUCCACGUGUAGCAGUGAAAUGCGUAGAGAUGUGGAGGAAUACCGAUGGCGAAGGCAGCCCCCUGGGAUAGCACUGACGUUCAUGCCCGAAAGCGUGGGUAGCAAACAGGAUUAGAUACCCCAGUAGUCCCUGUCUCUUAUAC